GGAGGAAGCUGACGGUUGAGCCAUGCACGCACGCGGUGCAGAACGAGCGGCUCUCGCUACGCGUGGUGCUGCAGGUGCUCUUUUUCGAGCAGCUGCAGCUCUGGCGCGCCAUCACCGGCACGUUCCUAGCGUCCACGGGCGGGCUUCCGCAGCAGCAGCGGCGCGCGGCUCUACAACAAGGCCAGACCCAUCGAUACAUCGCGGACGACGGCGAUGCAGGAGAGCCAAGUGUUGCGGGUGGACAUGGACGGCAUGCGGAGCCGGCCGGUGCUGGGCCUCGAAAGGGAGUGAUGAUUGACAGCCGCCGACGAUGUUGCGGACGCCGGGUCGCCCGGUAGGGCGGACGCCGCCUCCAAUAGCUGUAGGUCGCGGUACGUAUGGGUGCAAGUUCAGCAGUUUGAGUUCGACUCGCAGGCGCGCGACGCGAUUGGGUCCACGGCGUCCAGGAUGGGGAUGAGCCCAUGAACGAACGCAUAUUCCGUUAGGCCAUUCCGUUCGUAGGCGAUAUGUAUGAUGACCACAAAUCACUCGAGACUAAAAUGGUUGAGAGGAUCCAGGCUCAACGGCUCUAACAUCAUGCAAGCCUCAACAUUAAAGGCUCUGUCGCCGUAGAGAUUCAGUCGGAAAGUUGUCAUGCACAAACAAGACAGGAUGUGUUUUGCUGCCGUGAAGGCAUCACAUCCUGACCAUGCCGCCGAUGUGGACCAUGAGGUACAAUUUUAAGGUCUAAGGAUUAAUUCUUUUAUCUUCUAUAAUUUAUUGACUUCUGUUUUGCUGCCUUGCACACACUUUAGAUCAGUCGAAACAGAUGUGUGCCUUUACUUAUAUCUAUCUAUAUAUUAGCAUAUUACACUGCUUUACAUUAUACUCGCUGUGCAGCUUCUCAGUUUAAGUCGCAAUUUUAGCAACAAGCAACUCCCAUACAUACUUCAUCUGGGUUCUUUUUACAUCUGAACACUGCCUUGCAUGGAAAAAAAACCGGAUAAAUCAAAGUAGAUGAUGCAUCUUUAAUUAUACUUACAUAUCAUUAUGGUGCACUGUCUUACAUUAUACCCACAUUCAGUAAUUUCACACAUUAGUGAUCUGCAUUUGAGAUUCUUUUUGUCUCAGAAUUUUUUUUCUCAUGUGAGUGUCCUCAAACUCAUGCUUCCUACUCUGUAUAGUUAAUUUUAUGCCAUGGAGAUACAUCAAGAAUAUUUCUCAUUUCUACCGAUUCAUGCAUAUACCUAACCUCUUGAAGUAUACUAUGCGCAAAUCUCUUAAAUGACGUCUGCAUCCACUCUAUAUUGAACAAAAUGGACAAGGUAGCCAAAUGUUCCUCCUGCCAUGAUUAUUCUUUCUUCAGUUUUCUGCAGUUAGUAUUUGAAUUUUGUUCUUACCAUAGGGAACCAUAAUUUGUUUGAAACGAGUGGGAACCAUAAUGGAAGGGUGUGCUCGGUUCAAUCCCCGAAGCCCUCCACUCAAAUUAAAACGGCGCCAUUCUUACACUGGACAACAAUGCAAGGUACUGACGUGAUCCAGAUCGACAACCAGCAACAAAGCACAACUAAUUUGGGGUACCAGCAAGAGAGCUGCUCAGAAUCUUCAGUCUCCACUCCCCACAAUACCUACAUCUACUAUCUAAUUUGGCUAGAUCAUUCAUAGGCGUCAUCUGGCUGUAAAUGUGAAUCUCCUUGCUGCAAAAUAGUUCGGUAACAAAUGUUUCUCCGUCAUGUAAGUUAUUGUAUAUACAUAUGCUACUACGUCAAUA
Molecule: non-coding RNA, 1750 nt
Organism: Lolium perenne
Lineage: Eukaryota; Viridiplantae; Streptophyta; Magnoliopsida; Poales; Poaceae
Source: RefSeq, a predicted model, not a curated record